UUUCCAGACUCCUACGGGAGGCAGCAGUGAGGAAUAUUGGUCAAUGGUCGGGAGACUGAACCAGCCAAGCCGCGUGAGGGAUGAAGGUACAGAGUAUCGUAAACCUCUUUUGUCAGGGAACAAAGGCGGGGACGUGUCCCCGGAUGAGUGUACCUGAAGAAAAAGCAUCGGCUAACUCCGUGCCAGCAGCCGCGGUAAUACGGAGGAUGCGAGCGUUAUCCGGAUUUAUUGGGUUUAAAGGGUGCGCAGGCGGGAGAUCAAGUCAGCGGUAAAAUGUCGGGGCUCAACCCCGGCCGGCCGUUGAAACUGGUUUUCUAGAGUUGGAGAGAAGUAUGCGGAAUUCGUGGUGUAGCGGUGAAAUGCAUAGAUAUCACGAAGAACUCCGAUUGCGAAGGCAGCAUACCGGCUCCAUACUGACGCUGAGGCACGAAAGCGUGGGGAUCGAACAGGAUUAGAUACCCCAGUA
Molecule: ribosomal RNA, 466 nt
Filed under: uncultured bacterium
Lineage: Bacteria
Description: bacterial SSU rRNA
Rfam family: Bacterial small subunit ribosomal RNA
Source: RNAcentral